CAUCCCAAGACCCUGGGAUCAUGACUUGAGCAGAAGGCAGACGCUUAACCACUGAGCCACCCAGGCACCACUUGGAGACAUUUUUCUAAAAUUUGUUCAGAUGGCUUUCUUGUCUUUGUUUUGCUUGCCACUGAACCAGUCAAAUUUCCUUUUCAGUUAUAACUUUCUUCAGACCUUUCACAUUUGAAUAUUAAACUAAAAUUUGCUUCCAAAAAAGUGUCUGUUUGCUUUUAUUAGUUCCUAGUGACUGUCAGUGAAUAUUUUGUGUAUGUGAAUUAUUUAACACUUUAAAGUAUUAAUAAAAAGCAUGAGUUACCAAAUGCUAGGUUUAAAAAUAGAAUUAGGUCUCUCAUAGCCUUGAAGGUAGUAAUCGUUAGAAUUUUUCUAAUUAAAAAGCACUGGAUAUAUUCCCUAAGUGCUUCUGAUGACUUCCCAGUAUGGAAAUAAUCUUUAAGUUUUUCAUAUAAAAAGUCCUAAUAUUACAGAAAAUAAAGCAUUAACAUUUAAGAUAUUUAGGCCUAUAUUGGAAAUGAUGCAGUUUUCUAUGUUAAAAAUAUAAAGCCAUCCUUAAAAAAAAUAUGUGUGUGUGUAUGUGUGUGUGUGUGUAUGUGUGUGUGUGUGUGUAUAUAAUCUCCAUCCUAGAUAUAGGAGUUGUAUGAUUUUCUUCAGUAUAAGAAACCUGUCUAGAAGUGGCUAUCACAUACUUUUAGCUAGAGUACAUAAUUCAUCAGACAUAUCUUAGAUUAUCUCACUGGCAUUUGUCGUCACAUGUGGUUGAUUUCUAAACAUAUUAAAGGAUUUGGACCUAUGAAGCUAAUGGCUGUAGUGAAAAAUGCAAGGACAGAGAUACAACUGUAUUCACUUUCGUCUUAUGCCUAUAAUCUUAUAAACUGAAAAUUCAAGGGAAAAGAACAAAUAGAAAGUCACUAAUAUAACAUUUGUUUUCUGUGGUAUAGAUUUUUAAUGUUUCCUUUGAAAGUUAUUUUACAAAUAUUACCAUAAUAACUAAAAACAGCACAGUUCUGUCAUUGAAUUACCCAUUCAUUUUUCAAAGUUGACUGUUAGUGGAGUUUUGGGUGUUUUUGUGUGUGUUUUUCCACUUAUAAUAUGAUGGCUGUCUCAUUUAAAAUCUAUAACUUUUUGAAUGUACAAAAUGAUUAGCGAUUUGUAAUAUUACAAUGUAGCACUGUAAUUUAAGAAUAGAAAGUUAGGAUUUAGGUAGGGUUGAAAAAUAAAAUUAUAUUUUUUGAUUAAAAUAUAAACUUUUUAAAGAGUCUUAUUCCAGUUGGACCUUUUAAAAUUUUAUUUUGGUAAUAAUAUAUUUCAAAAUAAUAAGUAUUAAAAACAGAGGUUCUCUGGUAGCCAGGGUACUAACUAGUUAAAGUUAAAAUGCUAUUUUUGAUGUUCCUUCCUUUGGAAACAUUUCCUACACUAUCCAACCAAUGCGUUUUUAAGAUUUAAUGGGCUCAAAAAAAAAAUUUAAUGGGCUCAACCUAUAAAUUCAACAAAUGCCUGUCUUGCAUUUUGAAGGAAAAAACUUACCUGUGAUUGGCAUUAUUUUGGUCUUCAGAAUGUUAAAAUCAUAUUAAUCAUAAACACUUUAGAAGUGGCUCUGGUAAGGAGAUACCAGUUGUUAGACCUAACUGAAAAAAUUCAGCCUCUUAAUUUCUUAUAUGGGAUUAAAGAAAAUAACUUUAUUUUUUCCUUUGGGAUUUUGAUUGCUCUUAAAAGUAUUUAUCAUAGUUUCUACCUUCUUCUAAAAUUAUGACAUAUUACAACAGAUCUUGCUGUCGAAGAUCUUUUACAUUUUAGACUUUUUCCCCCCUCUUCUAACAUGUUACUACUUUCUGUGAUUCAAAAAUACUAUCAUCAAAAAUACUUGUGGAUACUGUUUGUCUUAUAAUUAGCUUUACUUUAUAUAAGAAGAAUUGUUAAAAAAAAAAAUGUAUGGCUGGUCUGUUUUCUUCAGAAACUCCUAAAGAGUAUGGCGUUCCUUCCCCCAGUUGUUAGCUUUUAUAUAUUUGGAGCAAAAUUUAGCAAAAAAUAAUCAGAGAUUUAGCUAGACAUUGUCUGUCAGAUGCACUGCUAUAAAAAUGAAUCCAUUAAGACAGAAAAUUAUCAACCACAUAUGAUUUGUCUCUUAUGUUGGUUUUUCUGGGACCCAAAUUAAAUAGGAACAUUUCAGUGUUAUCAUAGAGGGUGACAAUGACUUGAAUGCAUGUGAAUGCACAUAAGCGGAGGAGGACAGCUGAAAAUUCAGAAUUACUUGUUUUAAAGAAAAAUACUUGCAAAUUGUGCUGCUACUUAAAUAUUUAAGGAAUUCAAAAAGUUGUGUAGUUAUCGUUAAACGGUCCUUCUCAUUUAUUCUACUGGAAUUGACCAUGAAAAAGAGAAUAUUAAGCCUUAUUUAUAUCUAAUUAUUGACUGUGCAAACUGUGACUCAGUGAAUAUUUGUAUGCCAAAAAAAGGUCUUAAAGUUGAGAAAAUUUUUAAUAAAGAUGUGUAAAUAAUUUUGAUUAGUCUUCUCAUUAUAAUGAAAUUACUGUUAAUUUGGUGCAAUACAUUCUUUCCUUCCUCAUCUUUUUAAGGUUGAAUAUAUAAGAUGUAUGUUUUGUUUUGUUACAUUGUGUUUGAAAAUUUUUCAGUGUGUGUAUAUGAGCUAAUAUUUGAUUUGUUUCUGUAUAGCAUGAUUGAAGAUAAUUGAGAAUUUUGCACUUUUUUUAGUCCUUUGGAAAUUUGUAUUCUAACAGUUUUUAAGAAUAUACAUUUAUUUUGUACAUAAUACAUUAGCUUUGUAUAUGAAAAUGGGUUCAAAUCAAAUAAAAAAAUGAUGUUACUUUC
Lutra lutra (Eurasian river otter) is the source of this 2841-nucleotide long non-coding RNA. RefSeq lists it as uncharacterized. The transcript is spliced from 2 exons. The record is from RefSeq and is a predicted model, not a curated record. Lineage: Eukaryota; Metazoa; Chordata; Mammalia; Carnivora; Mustelidae.